AGAGACUUGUAUCCAGUAUAUAUGAAGAAUUCUUGCAACAAGAAAACAACCCAAUUAAAAUUGUCAAAGGACUUGAAUAGAAAUUUCUCCAAAGAUGAUAGAAGAAUGAUUAACAUGCACAGGGAUGUAUGUGUAACAACAUGAGUCAUUAGGGAAAAGGUACAUCAAAACCACAAUGAAAUACUACUUCAUGAGUACUAUAAAGUCUACAGUCAAAAAGGCAAUAGCAAGUACAGAUGAGAAUAGGGAAUUAGAACUCUCGUAUAUUUCUGGUGGGAAUGUCAAAGGCGGCAGCCCCUUUGGCAAAUACUUGGGCAGUUUAUCAAAAUGUUAAACAUAGAAUUACCACAGGGUCCAGCAAUUCUGCCUCUAGGUAUCUACCCAGGAAAAAUGAAAACAUGUUUACCAAAGACUUGUACAUGAAUGCGCAGAGUAAUAUUAUUCAUACGAGACAAAAAAUGGAACAACCGAAAUAUGCAUCCAUUGAUGAAUGGAUAAACAAAAUAUGUUAAAUCCAUACAAUGGAAUACUAUUGGUCAACAAGAAGGGUCCACAUACUGAUACAUGUAGCAAUGUGGAUACAUUUCCAAAACAUUCUUCUGAAUGAAAGAAGUCAGACACAGAAGACCGCAUACUGUGUCAAGAGAGAAGGAAGAAAAAGAGGGAGGAAAGAAAGAUCAAGGAAAGAAAGAGAAAGAAGAGAGGGAAGAAGGACCGAAGGAAAGCUGACCAGGAAAAAAAAAGUGCUUCUAUCAAUUUGGUUACUUCUUCAAAGAAUGUGAAAAGUCCCCAACAAAAGUAUACAAGACUUUAUUAUUUUGCUGAAGAAAUGGAUAUGUUCAGCCUGCUAUUUGGGGCAGGACUUCAAGGACUGGAAUGAAAGACACCACCCUUUUCGGAUAUGGAAUCCUUGGAUGAAAUGUGCUUUGAACAAAAUUCUUUCUCCGUUUAGUUUGUUUGACACUACUCAGCCUUGUAAUAGG
Herpailurus yagouaroundi (jaguarundi) is the source of this 983-nucleotide long non-coding RNA. RefSeq lists it as uncharacterized. NCBI's taxonomy places the organism in Eukaryota, Metazoa, Chordata, Mammalia, Carnivora, Felidae. The transcript has 3 exons. The record is from RefSeq and is a predicted model, not a curated record.